RNAcentral lists this long non-coding RNA (1331 nucleotides) under Homo sapiens (human). Its description in RNAcentral is "HSALNT0368289". Lineage: Eukaryota; Metazoa; Chordata; Mammalia; Primates; Hominidae. The record is from RNAcentral.
CUUGGUACUCGCGCAGCAUCCGUGCCAGCUCCUCCUUGGCCUGCUGCAGGGCGCCCUCCAGCUCAUCCAGCUUGGCCCUGGCAUCCUUGAGGGCACAGUCCCCCCGCUGCUCGGCGUCAGCGAUGGCCGUCUCCAGGUUGGCACACUGGGGUCAGGAGGUAGCAUUUCUCCCUGAGUUCCUCCCUGGGCCUCGCUUCACCUCUCCCAUGCUCUCAAUGGUUGAGCCCUCCUCUGUCCUGCCCCAUGUCCUGGAGCAGAGACCCAGCCACAUCCAGGUGGAGUCCUGUCAACCUGAGACUGAGAGGCUUGCUACGCUGGGCCCCACAGCUUUAUGAAAAUAAUCUGCAAUUGUUCCAAACUUCAGAUGGGAGCUAAGGGUGAGGGAUGAGAGCAGGACCUCCAUUUGAAGAAGGGGAUUCUGAAAUGGAUGCUCAAGAGAAGGAGGGGGCAGGGGGUGCUAAGCAGUUCACCCCUCCCUUAGGAGUGAGUAAGGAAGGCUCCAGUCCCCUUCACCUGCUUCUUCACACUCUCAAUCUCCGAGCGCAGUCUUUGGAUGAGACGGGUCAGCUCUGAGAUCUCAUUUUUGGUGUGUUUCAGGUCAUCCCCAUGCCGGCCGGCUGCUAGCUGCAGCUCCUGGAACUAGAGGAAAAGGAACCAAAGCAAGAACACUGACUCAGGGCUUGGCUGGGAUCAGCCUGGUACAGAGACUGUGCCUGCACUUGCAGAGCCUGGCAGAGAGUCACCUUCUGAUUUUCUGCCUAAAUGCAGUGGAAUUUGAAGUCAGUCACCUAGAUUCUGAUCCAGCUGCGUCACUUGUCAGCUAUUGCCUUUGUGCCCAGGAGAGUGCUGUGCUCCCAGCAAGCUAUGGGCCACCACAGUGAGUCAUGGGGCAGACAAGACAGAGUCUGGAGCAGAGGGCCCUGCAUACUUCACUAUGGGGAGUUUUGCGGCCUCACCUUGGUCUGGUACAGGGCCUCGGCCUCGGCCUUGCUCUUCCGGGCGAUCUCCUCAUACUGGGCACGGACCUCAGCAAUGAUGCUGUCCAGGUCCAGGUUCCGGUUGUUGUCCAUGGACAGGAUGAUGGACGUGUCGCUGAUGUGGGACUGGAUCUGAGCAGUCUCCUGCAGGGGAAACAAGGAAGCAUGAAAUGCCUUCUGUGACCAGAGAAAGGUCCCAAGGUGAUGGCCCUGUCCCAGAGGGAUGGCCCUAGACCAUCCCACACAGAUGGAAGCUGCACUUCCCAAAGCUUGUAAGAACAGAGCUCACAGCCCAGAGGUUCCAAUACCACAUCUGAAAACUGCUGAAUGGGUUUGAAGCAGCCCAGGAAGAAA